UACAGAGGUGGCAAGCGUUGUUCGGAAUUACUGGGCGUAAAGGGCGCGUAGGCGGCCUACUAAGUCAGACGUGAAAUCCCCCGGCUUAACCUGGGAACUGCGUCUGAUACUGGAAGGCUUGAGUACGGAAGAGGCGAGUGGAAUUCCUGGUGUAGCGGUGAAAUGCGCAGAUAUCAGGAGGAACACCAAUUGCGAAGGCAGCUCGCUGGGACGUUACUGACGCUGAGACGCGAAAGCGUGGGGAGCAAACAGG
This 253-nucleotide ribosomal RNA is filed under the name uncultured bacterium. RNAcentral's name for it is "partial 16S ribosomal RNA". It matches the Rfam family "Bacterial small subunit ribosomal RNA", at positions 524 to 776 of the family's 1533-position model. The record is from RNAcentral.